CCUACGGGUGGCAGCAGUCGAGAAUCAUUCACAAUGGGGGAAACGCUGAUGGUGCGACGCCGCGUGGGGGAAUGAAGGUCUUCGGAUUGUAAACCUCUGUCAUGUGGGAGCAAAUCAAAAAGAUAGUACCACAAGAGGAAGAGACGGCUAACUCUGUGCCCGCAGCCGCGGUAAUACAGAGGUGUCAAGCGUUGUUAGGAAUCACUGGGCGUAAAGCGUGCGUAGGCUGUUUCGUAAGUCGGGUGUGAAAGGCGCGGGCUCAACCCGCGGACGGCACAUGAUACUGCGUGACUAGAGUGAAGGAGGGGGAAGCGGAAUUCUCGGUGUAGCAGUGAAAUGCGUAGAUAUCGAGAGGAACACUCGUGGCGAAGGCGGGUUCCUGGACAUUAACUGACGCUGAGGCACGAAGGCCAGGGGAGCGAAAGGGAUUAGAUACCCUUGUAGUC
RNAcentral lists this ribosomal RNA (446 nucleotides) under uncultured bacterium. RNAcentral describes it as "partial 16S ribosomal RNA". It matches the Rfam family "Bacterial small subunit ribosomal RNA", at positions 338 to 795 of the family's 1533-position model. The record is from RNAcentral.